Molecule: long non-coding RNA, 286 nt
Filed under: Mytilus galloprovincialis (Mediterranean mussel)
Lineage: Eukaryota; Metazoa; Mollusca; Bivalvia; Mytilida; Mytilidae
Source: RNAcentral
GUGGAAUUGUGAAAUAAAAUGGGGAACAUAUCAUAUCUGUACUAAAGCAUUGAUCACAGGGGACUUUCAAUACUGUAGCAGUGUUAUCAACCUAGUGUUUUAAAAUUAAAAUAACAAUUUGUGAAUAAAAAUAAUUAAGAGAGUCUGUAUAGUUACAUCUGGAACGCACUUAACAUAUCAUGUAAAAAAUAUGGAUGCUUAAUUGUAAUAAGCUGUGUGACAAAAGUGGCAUACAUUAAUAACUAAUUUUCCCGAAGGACUAUCUCAUAUAUUUUUUUUAUCUAAA